This 104-nucleotide small nucleolar RNA is filed under the name Setaria italica (foxtail millet). Its description in RNAcentral is "Small nucleolar RNA snoR97". It matches the Rfam family "Small nucleolar RNA snoR97". The record is from Rfam by way of RNAcentral. Lineage: Eukaryota; Viridiplantae; Streptophyta; Magnoliopsida; Poales; Poaceae. RNAcentral also lists the same sequence under 1 other name.
GUUUUCUGAGUUGCGCGGAGGCUGAAAAACUCGGAGAGCAUGUGUUGUCAUCAGCUUCGUCUCUUAUUACCGUGAGAUGGGAGUUAAAUAACAGCACGAGAUCC